This 279-nucleotide ribosomal RNA is filed under the name uncultured bacterium. RNAcentral's name for it is "partial 16S ribosomal RNA". It matches the Rfam family "Bacterial small subunit ribosomal RNA", at positions 506 to 784 of the family's 1533-position model. The record is from RNAcentral.
UGCCAGCCGCCGCGGUAAUACGGAGGGGGUUAGCGUUGUUCGGAAUUACUGGGCGUAAGGCGCACGUAGGCGGACCGAAAAGUUAGGGGUGAAAUCCCAGGGCUCAACCCUGGAACUGCCUCUAAAACUGCCGGUCUAGAGUUCGAGAGAGGUGAGUGGAAUUCCGAGUGUAGAGGUGAAAUUCGUAGAUAUUCGGAGGAACACCAGUGGCGAAGGCGGCUCACUGGCUCGAUACUGACGCUGAGGUGCGAAAGCGUGGGGAGCAAACAGGAUUAGAUA